This 466-nucleotide ribosomal RNA is filed under the name uncultured bacterium. Its description in RNAcentral is "bacterial SSU rRNA". It matches the Rfam family "Bacterial small subunit ribosomal RNA", at positions 100 to 563 of the family's 1533-position model. The record is from RNAcentral.
GAGGAUGCAUAUACUGAGUGUAUUCUUAUAGUGUGACCACAACUAUCUCUGAACGGAAUGCUGGUCCUAGCUGCUCCCUGCGGGGGAAAGCAGGGGAUCUUCGGACCUUGCGCUAAUAGAUGAGCCUAAGUCAGAUUAGCUAGUUGGUGGGGUAAAGGCCUACCAAGGCGACGAUCUGUAGCGGGUCUGAGAGGAUGAUCCGCCACACUGGGACUGAGACACGGCCCAGACUCCUACGGGAGGCAGCAGUGGGGAAUAUUGGACAAUGGGCGAAAGCCUGAUCCAGCCAUGCCGCGUGUGUGAAGAAGGCCUUUUGGUUGUAAAGCACUUUAAGCGAGGAGGAGGCUCUGAGAUUAAUACUCUUGGAUAGUGGACGUUACUCGCAGAAUAAGCACCGGCUAACUCUGUGCCAGCAGCCCGCGGUAAUACAGAGGGUGCGAGCGUUAAUCGGAUUUACUGGGCGUAA